RNAcentral lists this ribosomal RNA (274 nucleotides) under uncultured bacterium. RNAcentral's name for it is "partial 16S ribosomal RNA". It matches the Rfam family "Bacterial small subunit ribosomal RNA", at positions 523 to 796 of the family's 1533-position model. The record is from RNAcentral.
AUACGGAGGGUGCAAGCGUUAUUCGGAAUCACUGGGCGUAAAGGACGCGUAGGCGGGUUGGCAAGUCAGAUGUGAAAUCCUACAGCUUAACUGUAGAACUGCAUUUGAAACUGCUAACCUAGAGUAUGGAAGGGGCAGAUGGAAUUAGUGGUGUAGGGGUAAAAUCCGUAGAUAUCACUAGGAAUACCGAAAGCGAAGGCGAUCUGCUGGGACAUUACUGACGCUGAGGCGUGAAAGCGUGGGGAGCAAACAGGAUUAGAAACCCCAGUAGUCC